CAAUGUCUUCAAAAUUCACCAUCAAAAAAUUCAAUGUUCAAAAUUCGCCAUCAAAAAAUUCAGUGUUCAAAAUUCUCUGUCAAAAAAUUCAAUGUUCAAAAUUCACUGUCAAAAAAUUCGCUGUUCACAUCCGGGGGACUCAGGCGUAAACAAUCGAACCAAAAUCGAACCAACGCCCAGCCAAUCACGUGGCGCUCCUCCGGUCAUGUGACGCAGACGGUUCACCUCACAAGACCGGGGUCAACCACGGCUACCAGCAUGAACGACGGCGCUUCAGACCUUUGUAGCGAGGACCCGAUGCCAGGUCCAGUGGACAGACUUCAGACGUCUCUGUGUGUCCGGUCCUGUCUCUGGUUGCCUGGUUACAGACGCUGCUGCACCCGCACGUUUAAAAAUGUCUACACCUGAAACUCCACCACGUCUAAAGAAGCAAAAACGUUUGCAAAUGUACAGACUGGAGUGGGAAGAGUGGAACCCCUGGCAAUGGAUACAAGGCAAACUGUGUUUUCUGUUGCUCAUGGACUGGCUGAAGUAAGGCAGCAUCAGGAGACAAACAUGGAGGAAAUAUGAGAACAGAGAGAACCCAACCAGCAGGUCACAGUUUAUCAUCAUCUAAUCAUCUCCUGAAGUCCAUAUGACCAAAGAACUACAGACUCUUCACAACCUGCUCAAACUCUUGGUACAGGACCUCACCACACGGGUCAAGAAGGUUUCCAUCUCAUUUCUACUCUGAAGCUCACCUUCUCCUGCUCAAACUGCUGACAAAUGUUUCUGCUGCUCUAAAGUCUGGUCUCCAGAACUUCCUAAAAACUCUCAGAGUCUCUUCUGCUGCAGGUUGCUUUGUAGAACUGUUCCAGAAAACCUCAUUAAACCACAUGGAGGGGCCUCAAGAUAGUCAUCCAAAUGAAACCAUACAAAAACCAAACUAGCACAACCCAAACGCUAAAGUCUCCUGCAGCCUACCAGAGAACCUCUGAGAACAGAGAAUCAGGACAGGAACUCUUACCUUCUGGACAACCAACGUUGGUUCACAAACAAGAACACAGAAUGUGUCUGACCAAAAACCUCUGAAGACUCACUACAGCCAAGAUAAAGACACAACUCAGCUGCACCAAAUCCACUAAUCACUGCACACCAUGUGCUAACUGUGGCUAAAGAACCACAUUUACCAAGACAACUAUCCAGUACAAAGCCCUAAAACACACCAAGAAACACAUUAAAGAUGAUUUUACUGCUGGAAGCUGCAAGCCAACGCCUAAAGAACAAACUGAAGCAACGGAGCCAAACCCAGUUCACUGGUGAAGAGAAACAGAGGAAAUGUUUGUCUGCAGCUAAAUAAAGCAGGAAGACACUGAGCUGCUCAGGUGUUCCUGAUAACACCAAGCUGCUCAGGUGUUCCUGAUAACACCAAGCAGCCACCUGGACAGCCAAUAGGAACACAGCUUACUGGAAGUCCAGAGGGCUGGGUUAGUGAAGG
Molecule: long non-coding RNA, 1477 nt
Organism: Amphiprion ocellaris (clown anemonefish)
Lineage: Eukaryota; Metazoa; Chordata; Actinopteri; Pomacentridae
Source: Ensembl